Molecule: transfer RNA, 70 nt
Filed under: Paratapes textilis (textile venus clam)
Lineage: Eukaryota; Metazoa; Mollusca; Bivalvia; Venerida; Veneridae
Description: Paphia textile (textile venus clam) tRNA-Leu
Source: RNAcentral
GCUGAAGUGGCAGAAAUAUGCGUCAAGUUUAAGCCUUGGAGAUGGGAUUAAUAGAAAUUCCCCUUUAGUA